Cyprinodon tularosa is the source of this 1014-nucleotide long non-coding RNA. RefSeq lists it as uncharacterized. Lineage: Eukaryota; Metazoa; Chordata; Actinopteri; Cyprinodontiformes; Cyprinodontidae. The record is from RefSeq and is a predicted model, not a curated record. The transcript has 3 exons.
GAGAUAAAGAGCUGAAGUCAGCAGGUCUUUAUUGGAGCAGCAGCAUGUUGGCAUUAAUAUUAAUGAGAGCUCUUUAACUGCUUCUGUUGGACUGUUCCAACCUGCAUCCUGUUGGAUCAGCUCACAUCUUUCUAUUCUUUAUCCAGGUUGAUUGACUGCGGUUUGUCAAUGAUCAGCUGUGCUUCUUUGGCCUCAGCUCUGAAGUCAAACCCCUCCCAUCUGACUGAACUGGACCUGAGCAACAACAACCUGAAGGAGUCAGAUGUUCAGCAGCUGCAGGAUCUUGUAGAGAGUCCAGACUACAAACUGCAGACUCUGGAGUGGUGGAGGAUCUGAUCUUGGUGGAGGAGAGAAGCUGAUCUGUGUCCUGAUGAUCCUCAGAGGUUGAAGCUGCAGCAGUUUGAGUUUAAAGAGACUCUGACUGGAUCCUGAUGAUGAACUCUGAGUUUAGAGAUUUGUUUGUUUUCACUCAUUUUUUCUCUUUGUUUUCAUCGUCUCCAUAAUAUCAUGUUGAUAUUUUUCCAUCCAAAUUAAAAUAGAGAAUAAAAUGAUCUAUAACCUGUGAAAAGAUUAAUUUUAAAAAGAAUCCUGAACAGUUUUAUCAAACUUUUAAUGAACUUUAAUGUUAAAUUUAGCUGAUGCUGUUGUAAACCUCAGAAAGUUCUCUCUCUUUGAUUUAAUAUUCCCACUGAACUUCCUGGAUCAGAUCUGAAAAGCUGCUCUGUCUUUCUGAUUCUCUGAGAGCUGCAGCAGUUUCAGAUGCUGAGAUCUUUUUUCUUUGAGUGUUUCCUCUAUUUCUCUCCAUUCAUUCUGUCUCCAUGUUCACCUGCUGAAACCUUUAGAUCCUGCUGAAAAUCUUUGUUGUUCCUGCUGAUGAACCACCACUGUGGCUCAUUGUUAGCAGGUUAGCUAAAGCAGGUGUGGAGCGAUCCAGGACCUCAGAUGGACUCAGGAAGCCCUUCCAGUCCGGCCCCAGCAGGGUGGAGGAGGGCUGCUGUCAUUAAGGAGGAGCUG